GAGUGUGAGGGUGAUCUGGCUGCGACAACUGUCACCCCAUUGGUGGCCAGUGUUAAUUCAGCUGAUCUGGCUGGCUAGGUGGGUGUCCCUUUCCUUGCUCACCGCUCCAAGUGCAUUCUUCCCAAAGGUGCGCACUUGGUCAAAGAGGACGACCAUUCCCUGACAGAGGAGGACUGGGGUUUGGUCAAGGAUAUAUGAUUAGCUGUGCUCUGCUGCUAGAACCUCCAAACAAGCUCUCAAGGCCCAUUAGAUAUAUAGUAUUUAAGAAAUGCAGUGCAGUUAACAACUAUUCCACU
Molecule: small nuclear RNA, 296 nt
Filed under: Aotus nancymaae (Ma's night monkey)
Lineage: Eukaryota; Metazoa; Chordata; Mammalia; Primates; Aotidae
Description: 7SK RNA (ENSANAG00000009368.1)
Rfam family: 7SK RNA
About the family: 7SK was discovered as an abundant small nuclear RNA in the mid-70s but a possible function has only recently been suggested. Two independent studies have found that 7SK RNA binds the CDK9/cyclin T complex (known as elongation factor P-TEFb).
Source: Rfam by way of RNAcentral